RNAcentral lists this ribosomal RNA (118 nucleotides) under Lepisosteus oculatus (spotted gar). The record is from RNAcentral. Lineage: Eukaryota; Metazoa; Chordata; Actinopteri; Semionotiformes; Lepisosteidae.
GCCAGCAGCCAUAUCACCCUGCAACUCACAACUGGCAGCCCACUGAAGCUAAGCAGAUGUGAGCCUGGUCAGUACCUGGAUGGAGACCUCCUGGAAAAAACUAAGGUUGCUGCUGGAA